AGUGAACGCUGGCGGUAGGCCUAACACAUGCAAGUCGAACGGCAGCACAGGAGAGCUUGCUCUCUGGGUGGCGAGUGGCGAACGGGUGAGGAAUACAUCGGAAUCUGCCCAGUCGUGGGGGAUAACGUAGGGAAACUUACGCUAAUACCGCAUACGACCUUCGGGUGAAAGAGGGGGAUCGCAAGACCUCUCGCGAUUGGAUGAGCCGAUGUCGGAUUAGCUAGUUGGCGGGGUAAUGGCCCACCAAGGCGACGAUCCGUAGCUGGUCUGAGAGGAUGAUCAGCCACACUGGAACUGAGACACGGUCCAGACUCCUACGGGAGGCAGCAGUGGGGAAUAUUGGACAAUGGGCGAAAGCCUGAUCCAGCCAUACCGCGUGGGUGAAGAAGGCCUUCGGGUUGUAAAGCCCUUUUGUUGGGAAAGAAAUCUUUCAGGCUAAUACCCUGGGAGGAUGACGGUACCCAAAGAAUAAGCACCGGCUAACUUCGU
This 489-nucleotide ribosomal RNA is filed under the name uncultured bacterium. Its description in RNAcentral is "partial 16S ribosomal RNA". It matches the Rfam family "Bacterial small subunit ribosomal RNA", at positions 29 to 506 of the family's 1533-position model. The record is from RNAcentral.